UCAUCUCAAGACGUUCCAAAUCCUGACGCAUCCAUUUGUAACUUUUAUUCCUCAAAAAUCACUGUCAGUUAUUGGGAUGAAAAUUGAACAUACGGGGAAACUGUCAGCCGAUCGGUUGACAAUAUGGGAUGUCAUCAGCCAAAGGUUGUCCUGCUCCUUUGAAUUGUUGUCUAUACUAGCUUUUAAUCCGUUUAUUACAGAGCAGCGGGGCAUGUGAACGGCAUUCACCACCGUGUUGAUGGAGCGGACCAGGGAGGAGAUCCAGUGACCUUGACAACGAGGACAGACGAUGCUCAUACAAUGUCUCGAUGACGGAGGUCCUGGAAAGGUUUGAUGAUUUGCUGCUGCUCGAAUUGACAAAUCAUUGCAUCCAGAGGCUGGAAGAGGCGAUUCAAGAGGUGGUGGUAGAAUGUCAUUUUCGUUCUAGCAUACGAGAGAUAUUUCAGUGACCAAGAGUACAAGCAAAUCAUCAAAGGCACAAAUAAAGGAUAACGUGCGGCCAGUUCCAGACUUCUCCUCAAACUGGUGACAGAGAAAGAGCCACGGGUCCGAAAACUGAUAUGAAAACGCUUUGUGAAAAUGCACAACGUGCUCUCCAAAUGAGAGGAAUUGCUGAAAGCAAUGGGGGAAGAUGGUACAGGACAUGCAUGGUUCGAUAUGGAAUCUGUUCUUAUCAUCAAAACACAACCCACACUCAUUCCAUGAACUGAUUCCAACAAUUUGUGAUCUUAUCGAAUCGUUCAAAGCCAUGCAGGCUUCCUUGGAACUAGCUGCUGAACUGAAAGUUGUUCAGCAGAUGCACAGGGAGACACUGAAGGCACAGACGGAAACAUUGAGAGUGAACAUGUUCCUGAUGACGGAGAAGGUUAAGGCGUUCCCACUGGUUGAUCGAUACGCUGAGCUCACGAUCAUCUUCACUGUUCGAGAUCGGGAACUAGUGGAACAUGAGUUGUUGGCAAGAGGCCGGGACCAUGAAGAGUGGAGAGAGAAACUUCUCGGGGGAGAGUUGAAAAAAUCCGAACUGAUCAGUUAUUCCAGAGCUUU
Molecule: long non-coding RNA, 1044 nt
Organism: Amblyraja radiata (thorny skate)
Lineage: Eukaryota; Metazoa; Chordata; Chondrichthyes; Rajiformes; Rajidae
Exons: 4
Source: RefSeq, a predicted model, not a curated record